RNAcentral lists this ribosomal RNA (253 nucleotides) under uncultured bacterium. RNAcentral's name for it is "partial 16S ribosomal RNA". It matches the Rfam family "Bacterial small subunit ribosomal RNA", at positions 524 to 776 of the family's 1533-position model. The record is from RNAcentral.
UACAGAGGGGGCAAGCGUUGUUCGGAAUUACUGGGCUUAAAGGGUGCGUAGGCUGUGCGGAAAGUUGGGUGUGAAAUCCCCCGGCUCAACCGGGGAAUUGCGCCCAAAACUACCGUGCUUGAGGAAGACAGAGGUGAGCGGAACUUCGGGUGGAGCGGUGAAAUGCGUUGAUAUCCGAAGGAGCACCGGUGGCGAAAGCGGCUCACUGGGUCUUUUCUGACGCUGAUGCACGAAAGCUAGGGGAGCAAACGGG